AUACGUAGGGGGCGAGCGUUGUCCGGAAUGAUUGGGCGUAAAGGGCGCGUAGGCGGCCCGGUAAGUCUGGAGUGAAAGUCCUGUUUUUAAGAUGGGAAUUGCUUUGGAUACUGUCGGGCUUGAGUGCAGGAGAGGUAAGUGGAAUUCCCAGUGUAGCGGUGAAAUGCGUAUAGAUUGGGAGUAACACCAGUGGCUGAGGCGAAGUACGGGACUGUAACUGACGCUGAGGCUCGAAAGUGUGGGGAGCAAACAGGAUUAGAUGCCCUGGUACUCCCCACUGUAAACGAUGAAUGCUAGGUGUAGGGGGUAUCGACCCCGUCUGUGCCUCAGUCAACACAAUAAGCAUUACGCCUGGGGAGUACGGCCUCAAGGUGGAAACUCAAAUGAAUUGACGGUG
RNAcentral lists this ribosomal RNA (397 nucleotides) under uncultured bacterium. RNAcentral's name for it is "partial 16S ribosomal RNA". It matches the Rfam family "Bacterial small subunit ribosomal RNA", at positions 523 to 918 of the family's 1533-position model. The record is from RNAcentral.